This 121-nucleotide ribosomal RNA is filed under the name Ricinus communis (castor bean). The record is from RNAcentral. Lineage: Eukaryota; Viridiplantae; Streptophyta; Magnoliopsida; Malpighiales; Euphorbiaceae.
GGCUACGAUCAUACCAGCACUAAUGCACCGGAUCCUAUAUGAACUACGAAGUUAAACGUGCUUUGGCGAGAUUAGUACUAAGAUGGGUGACCUCUUGGGAAGAGGUCCAAUACCGAGACCG